UCGACUGAGGCAACACAUCAGUCAAAUGGUAACGCAGGUGUCCCAAUGUGAUCUUUGUCAGGACCGAAGCCUGGCGCGGAGUAAAAACGUAAAAGCUUACUUGAUUCCGAUGUUCAGCAUGAUCGAGACCAUGAGAGCGCGGACUAUCGAUUUUUCUUUUGACCACUGGCGGCAACAUAAGAG
RNAcentral lists this non-coding RNA (183 nucleotides) under Opisthorchis viverrini. RNAcentral's name for it is "Eukaryotic large subunit ribosomal RNA". It matches the Rfam family "Eukaryotic large subunit ribosomal RNA", at positions 2621 to 2805 of the family's 3401-position model. The record is from Rfam by way of RNAcentral. Lineage: Eukaryota; Metazoa; Platyhelminthes; Trematoda; Opisthorchiida; Opisthorchiidae.